Long non-coding RNA from Danio aesculapii, 1023 nucleotides. RefSeq lists it as uncharacterized. The transcript has 3 exons. The record is from RefSeq and is a predicted model, not a curated record. Lineage: Eukaryota; Metazoa; Chordata; Actinopteri; Cypriniformes; Danionidae.
GAGAUGAAGCAGUUUUUACAUGAACAAUUUAAAUUUUAAUCUGAAACCUAAUUAACAACUUAUCAUUUUACAUGUACAAUAUCUAUUUCUCCAUGCUCUCUUUAUAUUUGGACAUAUUUAUUUGUUAUAUUUUGGCCUGGUGGAUGGAUAUAAUUUAAGAUUCAUUUUAAAUGUUUACUGUGAGAUCACAGGGAAGUUCUUGCAUUCACAAAUGCACAGUUUAUAUGUUAAUAUUUAUAUAUUGCUCUUAUAAAACUUAAGUAAAUCCAAGAAUUAAAGCCGAUGCUUUUUAGAUAUGAAAAUGAACAUGAAUUCAGUCAGUGCGUCCAAACUUUUGACUUAUGAAUCCAUUGAUAUUAAUCAAAUGCUGCAACAUUAGCUUAUUAUUUAAUCUUUAAAAAACUAAAGAGAAAUGAUCUGAUUAUUAAAUUGAUUAUAAGUGAUUUGCAUUGAAAUAAAGGCACAUCAUGAUAUCUGCUCAUUAGUUUGACAGACUGCGAGGCUGCUGCACGCUAACUGAAGGGUAACACUCCUGCGCCGCACUGUGGAGUCUAGAGUUUUGCACGUUGCGAGCGAUUGGUCAAUUGUUUCCCGCUCUGGAAGGUGUUGUGAGUGAGGCUGUAGGUGUGUUCCUCUGAAGGGGCUGUGGACUGACUCUUCUUGUCUCCUGAAGGGGUUUCACACCCUUUUGGAAGGCAGCUGGACUCAAGGAGGCAGGACGAUCCUGUCUGUCCCUCCCCCUUCUCAGCCCUGCCCACCCAGUGUGAAGCUCCACCCCACGAAGUCAAGUGAUCUACAGCCGACAGUAAAACAAUCAACACUGACCCGCCAGACUCGCGCUGGAGGAUCAACUAAUGUCAAUUACACAGGACUGCGCUGAAACACACACACAGCCCGAGACUCCAAAGCAAACAGAAGCAGCACGUAAGUAACACACACACACACACACAUCUUCAGUCUCAGUGUAAUACAGAUGUAGAUUGACAGUUUGUGUAUCAUUAAAGGGAUGGAUGUUUCUGCAAA